This 522-nucleotide ribosomal RNA is filed under the name Escherichia coli. RNAcentral describes it as "bacterial SSU rRNA". It matches the Rfam family "Bacterial small subunit ribosomal RNA", at positions 19 to 528 of the family's 1533-position model. Lineage: Bacteria; Pseudomonadati; Pseudomonadota; Gammaproteobacteria; Enterobacterales; Enterobacteriaceae. The record is from RNAcentral.
CUGGCUCAGAUUGAACGCUGGCGGCAGGCCUAACACAUGCAAGUCGAACGGUAACAGGAAGAAGCUUGCUUCUUUGCUGACGAGUGGCGGACGGGUGAGUAAUGUCUGGGAAACUGCCUGAUGGAGGGGGAUAACUACUGGAAACGGUAGCUAAUACCGCAUAACGUCGCAAGACCAAAGAGGGGGACCUUCGGGCCUCUUGCCAUCGGAUGUGCCCAGAUGGGAUUAGCUAGUAGGUGGGGUAACGGCUCACCUAGGCGACGAUCCCUAGCUGGUCUGAGAGGAUGACCAGCCACACUGGAACUGAGACACGGUCCAGACUCCUACGGGAGGCAGCAGUGGGGAAUAUUGCACAAUGGGCGCAAGCCUGAUGCAGCCAUGCCGCGUGUAUGAAGAAGGCCUUCGGGUUGUAAAGUACUUUCAGCGGGGAGGAAGGGAGUAAAGUUAAUACCUUUGCUCAUUGACGUUACCCGCAGAAGAAGCACCGGCUAACUCCGUGCCAGCAGCCGCGGGGUAAUACAA